AACUCAAGUACCACAGUGACUUAAUGGAUUACAUCAAUCAAAACUUUCGACUGUGGCAGCGGCUUAAGCAAUUACGUCAUGCAGAACUUUCAAGCGUGGCAGCGGCUUAAGACCUCUCUGGGCUUUGAAAUGAUCGGCAACUUUGAAACUCUCUUUCUUGAGAAAUAUAAAAGGACCAGCCGAGAUUAUUGAUCAGUCAAAGGAAGUUAAGGUAGUAACGAUAGACAGGGACCUCACACAGUCACAUAACAGAGUAGAUCCAGGAAGCAUCAGAGCUUCGAUAAUCAGCACGUUGAUCUCCAACUUCGGGCAGCCCAUCGAAUGAUACGGCAUGCAGAAGUAUUCCGUAAGAACGAACAAGACUUGGUCCAUUCGAUCUCUUGGGCACCAUCGAUAUCGCAUUUAACCGGUUCAGACGAGACUUUCACUCUCCACCAGUUUCACGUAACCUAACCCAGGUACAUCGUGUUUAUGUUGUAUC
Megachile rotundata (alfalfa leafcutting bee) is the source of this 481-nucleotide long non-coding RNA. Lineage: Eukaryota; Metazoa; Arthropoda; Insecta; Hymenoptera; Megachilidae. The record is from RefSeq and is a predicted model, not a curated record.